Chelonia mydas (Green sea turtle) is the source of this 731-nucleotide long non-coding RNA. RefSeq lists it as uncharacterized. The record is from RefSeq and is a predicted model, not a curated record. NCBI's taxonomy places the organism in Eukaryota, Metazoa, Chordata, Testudines, Cheloniidae. The transcript has 3 exons.
GGGAGAUUAUAGCGGGUCCUGCUGAAAGGUGAACUGUCAGGCUGGAGGGAGGUUACCAGUGGAGUUCCUCAGGGAUCAAUCUUUGGGACCAAUCUUAUUUCAUCUCCCUCCCUCAGCUCAGUGAUGGCCUGAAUUGCCCCUUCUCCCGGCAGAGCCAGAGGAUUGGAAGUAGCAACAUCAGACCCCUGUGUGGCUCGCAGGAAUGAACACAAACACGCCCUUGUAGCUGGACAGAUGGGAGCCCGAGAGCUCAGGUGCUGGAGCGCUGCGUUUGUCAGUGAAGCUCGUACCAAGGAAAAAGAAGUCAAGCCUCAGAGUCUCCUGCCCUCAUGCGACGGAAAGUGAGUGAGAGCAGCGAGCCUGUGACCGUUGGUGAUGCCAGGCAAGAGGCCUCCAUCUGGGAGCCGAGCAAUCGCCAGUCUCGGUGAGGUAAGUGUCUGGUUUGGUGAGGACUCUGCUCACGCCCCACCUGAGUCCGGGUAGGGAAGCCCCGUAAAUUAGGGUUCGGUUUGUAAGAAAAGGUUCCUGAUCAGCUGUGGUUACGAGGGAGAAAAGGUCCCAUUUUCAGAGGCUGCUCGUUUCUCUGGUCAGGAACGGUGUCUUCUCCGCAGCUGAAGGUUGGAUCCAAGAGGAUGACUCCAGGUGGUGAGUGGCUUGCCCUGCUCUCAUGUUUCUCUGUCUUCUCUCAUGUGUUCGCCAACUCUCUCUUUCUCUUCUCUCCUCUGCUCUCC